CAGCAAGCGAGCCGCCGACAACAAGAUGGGCUAGCUGCACCUGGUCGACUUGGCGGUAAGAAUAAGAACCUUAUGCUUUGAAAAGGUCGCUUCUUCAGUAAAAGCAACAUUUCAUUCACCGUGGAGAACAGCAAGCGAGCCGCCGACAACAAGAUGGGCUAGCUGCACCUGGUCGACUUGGCGGUAAGAAUAAGAACCUUAUGCUUUGAAAAGGUCGCUUCUUCAGUAAAAGCAACAUUUCAUUCACCGUGGAGAACAGCAAGCGAG
This 267-nucleotide long non-coding RNA is filed under the name Pectinophora gossypiella (pink bollworm). RNAcentral describes it as "uncharacterized LOC126379057". Lineage: Eukaryota; Metazoa; Arthropoda; Insecta; Lepidoptera; Gelechiidae. The record is from RNAcentral.